Molecule: long non-coding RNA, 1854 nt
Organism: Engraulis encrasicolus (European anchovy)
Lineage: Eukaryota; Metazoa; Chordata; Actinopteri; Clupeiformes; Engraulidae
Exons: 6
Source: RefSeq, a predicted model, not a curated record
UUUUUGACUUUCGCGCCCUUGGCUUGGUAGCAGGUCCACCACCACCCCCAUUCAAAAAUCCAUGCAGAGUUAACUCGUUACCACUAUGCCACUGCAGUUAAAGUUUCUUUCCCAGCUGGACCUCCACUGCGAUGACCUGGUGAAAAUCUUCCAGAAGAGGGGAGGGCACACCGCAAGAAAACUGCAGUCAGUGACAUUUGUGUUCCACCAGCAGGAGAUCAUCAGCGACAUGCCCAUGGCCACCGACUUCAAGUCCUGCUGGCCAGAAAUGUUGGAUAUUGGAGAGAUCCAUGCAGAGUUGACGCGUCACCACUGCCACUGCAGUUAAAGUUUCUUUCCCAGCUGGACCGCCAUUGCGAUGACCUGGUGAAAAUUUUCCAGAAGAGGGGAGAGCAAACCGCAAGAAAACUGCAGUCAUUGGUAAGUAAAGGUGCCCCACUUCCUGUCCUUGAGGUGAACUUGUUAGUUUUCAUCAAUGCAUUUAUACCUGGUAUGACUUGGCAUUUCGAUCCCCAGCUCUUCUCAACACGCACGCACGCACGCACGCAUGCACGCAGGCCUACCAGUAGUUUGGUAAUGUCAUAAUGUGAUGUUAAUGUCAUAUUUCUCCCUUCAUCUGACUGGGGGGUGGGCUGGGGGCAUGUGGAAACAAAGAAUGUUAUCAACCUGAACACCUCAUUUUGCAUUGAUAGGAAAAUGAUUAAGUAAUGAAUGUGUUUUGCUUAUCAAGAUCAUGUUGUUUGACAGACAUUUGUGUUGCACCAGCAGGAGAUCAUCAGCGACAUGCCCAUGGCCACCGACUUCAGGUCCUGCUGGCCAGAAAUGUUGGAUAUUGGAGAGAUCCAUGCAGAUUUGACGCGUUACCACUAUGCCACUGCAGUUAAAGUUUCUUUCCCAGCUGGACCUUCACUGUGAUGACCUGGUGAAAAUCUUCCAGAAGAGGGGAGGGAAAACCGCAAGAAAACUGCAGUCAGUGGAUUUCACUGCAGCUCAGGUGCAGCUCAGCAAACGGCCAUGGGGAUAAAGCUCUAUGACGAUGGACAAUAUGGACGUUCACAUUGUGUGAGAAGGUGUUGGAAGUUCUUGGUGAUCUUGCCUGUGGCUCUGGCUGUAGUGAGGCUUUUUGUUUUGGAAUUAUCUCGCCCAGAAAAAUCUGUGUUUGAAAGAAGUCUGUAGUGAGGCCUCACACACACUUUACUUUAGUGUGACCUUUACCAUCUAGUAACUUGGCCUGCUUCUUGGAGAUCUUGACUGUGUGGCUCUGGCUUUAGUGACUGUUUGGGCUUUUCUUUUCUUUUCUUUUCUUACAUUUUCAGAAUGGAUGUUAGCCACUCAUCAGUUUUUAUCCAUUUCCAAGUAUUCAUAAUGACUGGGAAUAUUACAAUUCAUACAAGGUGGGAAGGUGGCUGUUCACCAUUUUGGAUUUGUUGUAAUGGACCUCUUUGGCGGCAAAACUUACUGUACUUUGAUCAGAUCAGUAAAUAUUAGUUUAUUACUAAGGAAACAUUCAUGAAAAGAUAUAAUUUGUGAAUGGGCGACUGAAAUGAUAUGCUGUAUUUUUAAGUUACCCCAGAAAAUGAUAAUGGUGCUAGAGGUUACAGUAUCUGCCCGAAUUGUCACUGAAAAUUUUGCGUAGUGUGUAGUUAUGCAAGACACUUCACUGCAUAUUGCGGUCUUCAGAUUCAUUUCAAAGAGCAAAUAGUGAAUGUGUUGCCUCUAUUUAAUGUAAUGCGUAAAAUGGAUUGUGAUUAUGAUCUGUGAAUUCAGUCUGUUCUACUCAUGUGUCUGACCUGCACUAAAGGUAUAUCCGAUGUCAUGAAUCAUUUGUUUAAAUAAAAGGAAAUUUGCAGUACA